Molecule: long non-coding RNA, 275 nt
Filed under: Panax ginseng (ginseng)
Lineage: Eukaryota; Viridiplantae; Streptophyta; Magnoliopsida; Apiales; Araliaceae
Description: long non-coding RNA (PGIN_LNC017621)
Source: RNAcentral
UCGUGGAAGAGAGAACGUGGUAGCUGACGCGUUGAGUAGAAGAUCGUAUGCGUUUACGAGUGCGAUGUUAUUAACACAAAAAAUCAUUUUGUAUAACUUACAAAUGAUGAAGAUAGAGUUAAAGACUCUAGGGACCCACAUGAAGAUAACAAAUAUACGAGUAGAAUCGACUUUAAUCGAUAAAGUUAAAGUCGCUCAAGCUACACACCCGAAUCUGAUGAAUGUGAAGAAGAAGGUUCAAUAAGGCGUUAUCUUAACCCUCGAUUUAAUUGGCC